GAUGAAGAACGCAGCGAAAUGCGAUAAGUAAUGUGAAUUGCAGAAUUCAGUGAAUCAUCGAAUCUUUGAACGCACAUUGCGCCCGCCAGUAUUCUGGCGGGCAUGCCUGUUCGAGCGUCAUUUCAACCAUCAAGCCCCGGGCGUGUGUUGGGGACCUGCGGCUGCCGCAGGCCCUGAAAUGCAGUGGCGGGCUCGCUGUCACUCCGAGCGUAGUAGUUACAUCUCGCUCUGGGCGUGCUGCGGGUUCCGGCCGUUAAAAGCCUUAUUUACCCAAGGUUGACCUCGGAUCAGGUAGGAAGACCCGCUGAACUUAAGCAUAUCAAUAAGCGGAGGA
This 334-nucleotide unclassified non-coding RNA is filed under the name soil metagenome. Its description in RNAcentral is "partial contains 5.8S ribosomal RNA, internal transcribed spacer 2, and large subunit ribosomal RNA". The stretch from base 1 to 120 matches the Rfam family "5.8S ribosomal RNA", at positions 35 to 154 of the family's 154-position model. The record is from RNAcentral.